CUCGGUGAUUGGAGCGAGGUGGAACCACCUUUUCCCAUUCCGAACAGAGUCGUGAAACGCCUUAGCGCCGACGAUAGUUGUGGGGCAACUCACCGCGAAAAUAAGUCAUUGCCGAGG
RNAcentral lists this ribosomal RNA (117 nucleotides) under Anaerolineales bacterium. The record is from RNAcentral. Lineage: Bacteria; Bacillati; Chloroflexota; Anaerolineae; Anaerolineales.